This 306-nucleotide long non-coding RNA is filed under the name Manihot esculenta (cassava). Its description in RNAcentral is "long non-coding RNA (MESC_LNC005972)". The record is from RNAcentral. Lineage: Eukaryota; Viridiplantae; Streptophyta; Magnoliopsida; Malpighiales; Euphorbiaceae.
CUAACCCCCAGGUUUGCAGGUACGGGAUUGAUAGAGAAGCAAAGAAGAGAAAAGUCAUAUGUAUGUAAUAGUUAGAGUUUGUGGACAUGACAAUGAUAAGAAUGUAAUGUAGAGUUUUGAACAGUUGUGUAAUUAUGUUAUUGAGGAUAGAGUUGUGCUUGACCAUAAUGUAUUGCUAAUCCCAUUUAUUUUAUGUACAUGAUCUUAUGAUAUGAUGUUUAUGCAAAACUAACUCAACACAUGAUGUAUAGCCCUUCGAGGCUUUGAUGAGAUCCCACAGAGGGACUUUAUUUAUGUAUAUGUUCA